This 253-nucleotide ribosomal RNA is filed under the name uncultured bacterium. RNAcentral describes it as "partial 16S ribosomal RNA". It matches the Rfam family "Bacterial small subunit ribosomal RNA", at positions 524 to 776 of the family's 1533-position model. The record is from RNAcentral.
UACGUAGGGUGCGAGCGUUGUCCGGAAUUAUUGGGCGUAAAGGGCUCGUAGGCGGUUUGUCGCGUCGGGAGUGAAAACACUGGGCUUAACUCAGUGCUUGCUUCCGAUACGGGCAGACUAGAGGUAUUCAGGGGAGAACGGAAUUCCUGGUGUAGCGGUGAAAUGCGCAGAUAUCAGGAGGAACACCGGUGGCGAAGGCGGUUCUCUGGGAAUAUCCUGACGCUGAGGAGCGAAAGUGUGGGGAGCGAACAGG